UACGUAGGGCGCAAGCGUUAUCCCGAAUUAUUGGGCGUAAAGAGCUCGUAGGCGGUUUGUCGCGUCUGCCGUGAAAGUCCGGGGCUCAACUCCGGAUCUGCGGUGGGUACGGGCAGACUAGAGUGAUGUAGGGGAGGCUGGAAUUCCUGGUGUAGCGGUGAAAUGCGCAGAUAUCAGGAGGAACACCGAUGGCGAAGGCAGGUCUCUGGGCAUUAACUGACGCUGAGGAGCGAAAGCAUGGGGAGCGAACAGG
RNAcentral lists this ribosomal RNA (253 nucleotides) under uncultured bacterium. RNAcentral's name for it is "partial 16S ribosomal RNA". It matches the Rfam family "Bacterial small subunit ribosomal RNA", at positions 524 to 776 of the family's 1533-position model. The record is from RNAcentral.